RNAcentral lists this ribosomal RNA (467 nucleotides) under uncultured bacterium. RNAcentral describes it as "partial 16S ribosomal RNA". It matches the Rfam family "Bacterial small subunit ribosomal RNA", at positions 28 to 506 of the family's 1533-position model. The record is from RNAcentral.
GACGAACGCUGGCGGCGUGCUUAACACAUGCAAGUCGAACGGAAAGGCCCUGCUUUUGUGGGGUGCUCGAGUGGCGAACGGGUGAGUAACACGUGAGUAACCUGCCCUUGACUUUGGGAUAACUUCAGGAAACUGGGGCUAAUACCGGAUAGGAGCUCCUGCUGCAUGGUGGGGGUUGGAAAGUUUCGGCGGUUGGGGAUGGACUCGCGGCUUAUCAGCUUGUUGGUGGGGUAGUGGCUUACCAAGGCUUUGACGGGUAGCCGGCCUGAGAGGGUGACCGGCCACAUUGGGACUGAGAUACGGCCCGGACUCCUACGGGAGGCAGCAGUGGGGAAUAUUGCACAAUGGGCGGAAGCCUGAUGCAGCAACGCCGCGUGCGGGAUGACGGCCUUCGGGUGGUAAACCGCUUUCGCCUGUGACGAAGCGUGAGUGACGGUAAUGGGUAAAGAAGCACCGGCGAACUACGU